Molecule: ribosomal RNA, 253 nt
Filed under: uncultured bacterium
Lineage: Bacteria
Description: partial 16S ribosomal RNA
Rfam family: Bacterial small subunit ribosomal RNA
Source: RNAcentral
UACGUAGGGAGCAAGCGUUGUCCGGAUUUACUGGGUGUAAAGGGCGUGCAGCCGGGAGUGCAAGUCAGAUGUGAGAUCCCGCGGCUCAACCGCGGAACUGCAUUUGAAACUGUGCUUCUUGAGUGCUGGAGAGGCAGACGGAAUUCCUAGUGUAGCGGUGAAAUGCGUAGAUAUUAGGAGGAACACCAGUGGCGAAGGCGGUCUGCUGGACAGUAACUGACGGUGAGGCGCGAAAGCGUGGGGAGCAAACAGG